UACAGAGGUCUCAAGCGUUGUUCGGAUUCAUUGGGCGUAAAGAGCUCGUAGGCGGUUCGGUAAGUCAGGUGUGAAAACUCCAGGCUCAACUUGGAGACGCCACCUGAUACUGUCGUGACUAGAGUCCGGUAGGGGAGCAUGGAAUUCCUGGUGUAGCGGUGAAAUGCGCAGAUAUCAGGAGGAACACCAGCGGCGAAGGCGGUGCUCUGGGCCGGAACUGACGCUGAGGAGCGAAAGCGUGGGGAGCGAACAGG
Molecule: ribosomal RNA, 254 nt
Filed under: uncultured bacterium
Lineage: Bacteria
Description: partial 16S ribosomal RNA
Rfam family: Bacterial small subunit ribosomal RNA
Source: RNAcentral